CAGGGUUAUGGGUUAGAAUGAAGGUUAGAUUGAGGGUUAGGGUUAGAGUGAGGGUUAGAAUUAAAAUGAGGGUUAGGUGCAGGGUUCUGGGCUAGAAUGAGGGUUAGGUUCAGGGUUAUGGUUAAAAUGAGGGUUAGGUUCAGGGUGCGGGGUUAGAAUAAGGGUUAGAUAGAGGGUUAUUGGUUAGAAUGAGGGUUAUGGGAUAGAAUGAAGGUUAGGUUCAUGGUUAUGGCUUAGAAUGAGGGUUAGGUUCAGGGUUAUGGGUUAUAAUGAGGGUUAGAUAGAGGGUUAUUGGUUAGAAUGAGGGUUAGAUUGAGGGUUAUGGAAUAUAAUUAAUGUUAGGUUCAGGGUUAUCGGUUAGAAUGAGGGUUAGAAUGAGGGUUAGAUUGAGGGUUAGGUUCAGGGUUAUGGGUUAGAAUGAGGGUUAGAUUGAGGGUUAGGGUUAGAUUGAGGGUUAUAAUGAGGGUUAGAUAGAGGGUUAUUGGUUAGAAUCAGGGUUAUGGGAUAGAAUGAAGGUUAGGUUCAGGGUUAUGGCUUAGAAUGAGGGUUGGGUUCAGGGUUAUGGGUUAGAAUGAAGGUUAGAUUGAGGGUUAUGGG
Long non-coding RNA from Oncorhynchus tshawytscha (Chinook salmon), 597 nucleotides. The record is from Ensembl. Lineage: Eukaryota; Metazoa; Chordata; Actinopteri; Salmoniformes; Salmonidae.